RNAcentral lists this ribosomal RNA (484 nucleotides) under uncultured bacterium. Its description in RNAcentral is "partial 16S ribosomal RNA". It matches the Rfam family "Bacterial small subunit ribosomal RNA", at positions 30 to 507 of the family's 1533-position model. The record is from RNAcentral.
AUUGAACGCUGGCGGCAGGCCUAACACAUGCAAGUCGAGCGGAUGAAGGGAGCUUGCUCCUGGAUUCAGCGGCGGACGGGUGAGUAAUGCCUAGGAAUCUGCCUGGUAGUGGGGGAUAACGUCCGGAAACGGGCGCUAAUACCGCAUACGUCCUGAGGGAGAAAGUGGGGGAUCUUCGGACCUCACGCUAUCAGAUGAGCCUAGGUCGGAUUAGCUAGUUGGUGGGGUAAAGGCCUAACAAGGCGACGAUCCGUAACUGGUCUGAGAGGAUGAUCAGUCACACUGGAACUGAGACACGGUCCAGACUCCUACGGGAGGCAGCAGUGGGGAAUAUUGGACAAUGGGCGAAAGCCUGAUCCAGCCAUGCCGCGUGUGUGAAGAAGGUCUUCGGAUUGUAAAGCACUUUAAGUUGGGAGGAAGGGCAGUAAGUUAAUACCUUGCUGUUUUGACGUUACCAACAGAAUAAGCACCGGCCAACUUCGUG